UACAGAGGGGGCAAGCGUUGUUCGGAAUUACUGGGCGUAAAGGGCUCGUAGGCGGCCCAGUAAGUCAGACGUGAAAUCCCUCGGCUUAACCGGGGAACUGCGUCUGAUACUGGAUGGCUUGAGGUUGGGAGAGGGAUGCGGAAUUCCAGGUGUAGCGGUGAAAUGCGUAGAUAUCUGGAGGAACACCGGUGGCGAAGGCGGCAUCCUGGACCAGCACUGACGCUGAGUGAGCGAAAGCCAGGGGAGCAAACGGG
RNAcentral lists this ribosomal RNA (254 nucleotides) under uncultured bacterium. RNAcentral's name for it is "partial 16S ribosomal RNA". It matches the Rfam family "Bacterial small subunit ribosomal RNA", at positions 524 to 776 of the family's 1533-position model. The record is from RNAcentral.